AGCAGCUGAGGUACUCUUCAUCCAACAUGCCCCUCGCCUUUUACUAGGGGCAUCCGGGAGAGUGCCUCGCCCAAGGCUGCGUUGGAAUCUUUGGUUAUACUAGACCCUCUUGGGUCUA
Non-coding RNA from Schizophyllum commune H4-8, 118 nucleotides. The record is from Rfam. Lineage: Eukaryota; Fungi; Basidiomycota; Agaricomycetes; Agaricales; Schizophyllaceae.